AAGUCGUAACAAGGUUUCCGUAGGUGAACCUGCGGAAGGAUCAUUAACACGUAUCCAGUGAACCUUCAUCCUGCUCUUGUAACCCGCGUAGUUCGCAAUCUCUGAUAAAUCAUAGCCCGGAAAGUUGUAGUGAUUCAGAGACCUCUGGCUACGUGCGAACAUUGGAACAGUUACAAUCGAGCGGUAGUUCUACAGGCAAUGUUUCCCCAAGCAGUCAGUGUCGGAAAGUGUCAUUGACUGUGCAAGGAUAGCGCUUCUACGAUUCCUGUAGACCGUGCACUCGUUUGCCAAAGGCCCCCUAAUAACCCCACAGUUUAAUGUGAAGCGUAAUACAUUGGGUAAAAAAACCGAACAACUGUUAACAAUGGAUAUCUUGGUUCUC
RNAcentral lists this unclassified non-coding RNA (382 nucleotides) under fungal sp. Its description in RNAcentral is "partial internal transcribed spacer region". The stretch from base 1 to 46 matches the Rfam family "Eukaryotic small subunit ribosomal RNA", at positions 1786 to 1831 of the family's 1831-position model. Lineage: Eukaryota; Fungi. The record is from RNAcentral.